This 253-nucleotide ribosomal RNA is filed under the name uncultured bacterium. RNAcentral describes it as "partial 16S ribosomal RNA". It matches the Rfam family "Bacterial small subunit ribosomal RNA", at positions 524 to 776 of the family's 1533-position model. The record is from RNAcentral.
UACGAAGGUGGCUAGCGUUGUUCGGAUUUACUGGGCGUAAAGCGCACGUAGGCGGAUCGUUAAGUUAGGGGUGAAAUCCUGGAGCUCAACUCCAGAACUGCCUCUAAUACUGGCGAUCUAGAGUCCGGAAGAGGUAAGUGGAACUCCUAGUGUAGAGGUGGAAUUCGUAGAUAUUAGGAAGAACACCAGUGGCGAAGGCGGCUCACUGGUCCGGUACUGACGCUGAGGUGCGAAAGCGUGGGGAGCAAACAGG